RNAcentral lists this ribosomal RNA (254 nucleotides) under uncultured bacterium. RNAcentral describes it as "partial 16S ribosomal RNA". It matches the Rfam family "Bacterial small subunit ribosomal RNA", at positions 524 to 776 of the family's 1533-position model. The record is from RNAcentral.
UACGGGGGGAGCAAGCGUUGUUCGGAUUUACUGGGCGUAAAGGGCGCGUAGGCGGUCACGACAAGUCAGUUGUGAAAUCUCCGGGCUUAACUCGGAACGGUCAACUGAUACUGUCGGACUAGAGUGCAGAAGGGGCAACUGGAAUUCUCGGUGUAGCGGUGAAAUGCGUAGAUAUCGAGAGGAACACCUGCGGCGAAGGCGGGUUGCUGGGCUGACACUGACGCUGAUGCGCGAAAGCUAGGGGAGCGAACGGG